AUUGAACGCUGGCGGCAGGCUUAACACAUGCAAGUCGAGCGAGCGGCGGACGGGUGAGUAAUGUCUGGGAAACUGCCUGAUGGAGGGGGAUAACUACUGGACACGGUAGCUAAUAACGCAUACCAUCAGAUGUGCCCAGAUGGGAUUAGCUAGCAGGUGGGGUAAUGGAUCACCUAGGCGACGAGCCCUAGCUGGUCUGAGAGGAUGACCAGCCAAAAGGGCACUGAGACACGGUCCAGACUCCUACGGGAGGCAGCAGUGGGGAAGAUUGCACAAUGGGCGCAAGCCUGAUGCAGCCAUGCCGCGUGUGUGAAGAAGGCCUUCGGGUUGUAAAGCACUUUCAGCGAGGAGGCGUUACUCGCAGAAGAAGCACCGGCUAACUCCGUGCCAGCCGCCGCGGUAAUUC
This 406-nucleotide ribosomal RNA is filed under the name uncultured bacterium. RNAcentral describes it as "partial 16S ribosomal RNA". It matches the Rfam family "Bacterial small subunit ribosomal RNA", at positions 30 to 526 of the family's 1533-position model. The record is from RNAcentral.